RNAcentral lists this ribosomal RNA (483 nucleotides) under uncultured bacterium. RNAcentral's name for it is "bacterial SSU rRNA". It matches the Rfam family "Bacterial small subunit ribosomal RNA", at positions 15 to 507 of the family's 1533-position model. The record is from RNAcentral.
GAUCCUGGCUCAGAUUGAACGCUGGCGGCAGGCUUAACACAUGCAAGUCGAGCGGUAACACUUCGGGUGACGAGCGGCGGACGGGUGAGUAAUACAUAGGAAUCUGCCUAGUAGUGGGGGAUAACGUAGGGAAACUUACGCUAAUACCGCAUACAUCCUACGGGGGAAAGCAGGGGAUCUUCGGACCUUGCGCUAUUAGAUGAGCCUAUGUCGGAUUAGCUAGUUGGUGAGGUAAAGGCUCACCAAGGCGACGAUCCGUAGCUGGUCUGAGAGGAUGAUCAGCCACACUGGGACUGAGACACGGCCCAGACUCCUACGGGAGGCAGCAGUGGGGAAUAUUGGACAAUGGGCGCAAGCCUGAUCCAGCCAUGCCGCGUGUGUGAAGAAGGCCUUAGGGUUGUAAACUGCUUUUAUCUGGGAAGAAAAGUCGGGAUUUAUCCUGAUCUGACGGUACCAGAGGAAUAAGCACCGGCUAACUCCGUG